Meriones unguiculatus (Mongolian gerbil) is the source of this 480-nucleotide non-coding RNA. The record is from the annotation of a RefSeq genome assembly. NCBI's taxonomy places the organism in Eukaryota, Metazoa, Chordata, Mammalia, Rodentia, Muridae.
AUGGAGUCACAGACCCAGGUCCUCAUAUCCCUGCUGCUUUGGGUGUCUGUUGCCAGUGCAGACAUUGUUGUGACCCAGUCUCCAUCCUCCCUGGCUCUGUCAGCAGGAGAGAAGGUCACCAUCAGCUGCAGGUCCAGUCAGAGACUUUCAUACAGCAAAGAUCCAAAGAACUAUGUGGCCUGGUACCAGCAAAAACCAAGGCAGUCCCCUAAGCUGCUGAUCUACUAUACAUCCUCUAUGGAAAAAGGGGUCUUUGAUAGCUUCAUAGGCAGUGGAUCUCAGAAAGAUUUUACUCUCACCAUCAGGAAAGUGCAGGCAGAAGACCUGGCAGUUUAUUACUGUCAACAGGGUUAUAACAAUGUUCCCACAGUGCUUCAGCCUCCAACAAAAUCCAACUUGAGAGUCUCACCAGCUGCCUUCAGCAUUCACAGUCCUGGCCCUGCACAUUUCCCUCUUCUGUGUGAUAGCAGGUGUGUUUAA